AUGCAGGAGUGCCCAUAAUCUGCCCUUCCUGUUUGUUUGUCUGUCUGUCUGAUCAGUCUGAUCUGUGAGGAGUAAAAAACUGGCCUUCCUGUUGGUCACCUGUGGCCUGAGCUAGUGUUUGCCUCUAUUUCCCAGCAUCCCCUGUCUAGGUGAACGUGCAUCCGGGAUUGUGAGGGCUGUGGUUUUGGCUGCUGUCUGCAUUUCCGUGGCUGUGGUCUGGGGCGUGUACCGGAACGAGGACAGAUGGAUCUGGGUUCUGCAAGAUCUGCUCGGUAUGGCAUUUUGUAUAAACUUCAUGAAGACCAUCACUGUCUCCAACUUCAAGAUUUGCGUCAUCCUGCUGAGCCUCCUGCUUGUGUACGAUGUCUUCUUUGUUUUCAUCACCCCUUUAUUCACCAAGGUGAGUCUGCCUCAGCAUUCACACAUGGUCCACUUUCAUUCCAAGGGUUUUUCAAAUUUUCCAGACUGACUUCUAUUUACUCUGAAGGGAGAACCUGAGCGC
Anguilla rostrata (American eel) is the source of this 502-nucleotide long non-coding RNA. RefSeq lists it as uncharacterized. The transcript has 3 exons. The record is from RefSeq and is a predicted model, not a curated record. NCBI's taxonomy places the organism in Eukaryota, Metazoa, Chordata, Actinopteri, Anguilliformes, Anguillidae.